GCCUGGAUAGCUCAGCUGGUAGAGCAAUGGAUUGAAAAUCCAUGUGUCGGUGGUUCGAACCCGCCUCCAGGCACCA
This 76-nucleotide transfer RNA is filed under the name Brevundimonas subvibrioides. RNAcentral describes it as "tRNA-Phe". It matches the Rfam family "tRNA". From Rfam's summary of the family: Transfer RNA (tRNA) molecules are approximately 80 nucleotides in length. RNAcentral also lists the same sequence under 6 other names. The record is from RNAcentral. Lineage: Bacteria; Pseudomonadati; Pseudomonadota; Alphaproteobacteria; Caulobacterales; Caulobacteraceae.